UACGUAGGGGGCAAGCGUUAUCCGGAUUCACUAGGUGUAAAGGGAGCGUAGACGGCCAUGCAAGCCUGGAGUGAAAGCCCGGGGCCCAACCCCGGGACUGCUCUGGGAACUGUGCGGCUGGAGUGCGGGAGGGGCAGGCGGAAUUCCUGGUGUAGCGGUGAAAUGCGUAGAUAUUAGGAGGAACACCGGCGGCGAAGGCGGCCUGCUGGACCGCGACUGACGUUGAGGCUCGAAAGCGUGGGGAGCAAACAGG
Molecule: ribosomal RNA, 253 nt
Filed under: uncultured bacterium
Lineage: Bacteria
Description: partial 16S ribosomal RNA
Rfam family: Bacterial small subunit ribosomal RNA
Source: RNAcentral